CCUGACGGAGCAACGCCGCGUGAGGGAUGAAGGCCUCUGGGCUGUAAACCUCUUUUAUCAAGGAAGAAGAUCUGACGGUACUUGAUGAAUAMGCCACGGCUAAUUCCGUGCCAGCAGCCGCGGUAAUACGGGAGUGGCAAGCGUUAUCCGGAAUUAUUGGGCGUAAAGCGUCCGCAGGCGGCCCUUCAAGUCUGCUGUUAAAAAGKGGAGCUUAACUCCAUCAUGGCAGUGGAAACUGANGGGCUNGAGUGUGGUAGGGGCAGAGGGAAUUCCCGGUGUAGCGGUGAAAUGCGUAGAUAUCGGGAAGAACACCAGUGGCGAANGCGCUCUGCUGGGCCAUCACUGACKCUCAUGGACGAAAGCCAGGGGAGCGAAAGGGAUUAGAUACCCCUGUAAGUCCUGGCCGUAAACGAUGAACACUAGGUGUCGGGGGAAUCGACCCCUUCGGUGUCGUASCCAACGCGUUAAGUGUUCCGCCUGGGGAGUACGCACGCAAGUGUG
Molecule: ribosomal RNA, 501 nt
Filed under: uncultured marine cyanobacterium AY-26
Lineage: Bacteria; Bacillati; Cyanobacteriota
Description: bacterial SSU rRNA
Rfam family: Bacterial small subunit ribosomal RNA
Source: RNAcentral